This 253-nucleotide ribosomal RNA is filed under the name uncultured bacterium. RNAcentral's name for it is "partial 16S ribosomal RNA". It matches the Rfam family "Bacterial small subunit ribosomal RNA", at positions 524 to 776 of the family's 1533-position model. The record is from RNAcentral.
UACAGAGGGUGCGAGCGUUAAUCGGAAUUACUGGGCGCAAAGCGUGCGCAGGCGGUUUUGUAAGACAGAGGUGAAAUCCCCGGGCUCAACCUGGGAACUGCCUUUGUGGCUGCAAGGCUUGAGUGCGGCAGAGGGGGAUGGAAUUCCGCGUGUAGCAGUGAAAUGCGUAGAUAUGCGGAGGAACACCGAUGGCGAAGGCAAUCCCCUGGGCCUGCACUGACGCUCAUGCACGAAAGCGUGGGGAGCAAACAGG